CAUAUAACCUUAGUUUUGUUCCAUUCUCAACCAAAACUGCCUGACGAAUGGGAACGUGAAACUCUGAGUAACAUUUGUGAUGUAUUUGCAGCUUUAUUAAUAAAGUGUAUAUAUAUA
This is a long non-coding RNA of Octopus sinensis (East Asian common octopus), 117 nucleotides long. RefSeq lists it as uncharacterized. The record is from RefSeq and is a predicted model, not a curated record. The transcript has 3 exons. Lineage: Eukaryota; Metazoa; Mollusca; Cephalopoda; Octopoda; Octopodidae.